GCAGAUGCCCUAAGACGGGGGUGUGAGGAGCCCACGAUUCUCCAGCUACCACCUCCAGGUGGGACGACUCUAGUGGUUCGUAUUGAAGAUGCCAAGCCUUGUCCCGAGCGCAGGAUGUAAUUUCUCAUUGAACCCUUUGAGCAGCCUGGCCAGGCAGUCGCCUACAUUCUCACCAUUGAACAGGUGGGGAAGCUGAGGCUUAGAGAGCUCGUGUGACUGUUAGCUGUUCAGGCUGGGAUCCUGGCUGAUUCCAGUGCUGGGGCCCUUCACCAUUAACUGACACCGGCUGUAUACCCUGCCAUGAGCUGCCUUAGGCUGGAGUUGGUCAGGCGCCGUGCCCCAAACCCUUGCUCUAGAGUAUUAGGAAAGGAAUUCGUGGGAAAGAGGACGGGCGCUCUGACAAUGAGCCUGACAAAGGCCUGAACCCUUGAACACGUGGUCGGUACCCUCCUCUGCCUCUCCCCACCCCACCUCAAUCGCUUCUCCCUGGGAGCUGGGCUGGUCUCCUCUGUCCGACUCUUCCCCCUCCGAGGCCAUCCCGUGCUCAUCUCAGCCAGGUUCCCCGGGAGGUGGAGGUGCCCCUGCCACCAGCUCUCUGUCAUCAGUACCUGGCUGUGGGACCGCCUGGCUAGGCCACAGCAGAGGAUGGGGGGAUGGCGCAGGCCUUCCCAGAGGAACGAGGACAGCCCGGUGACAGGGUGAAGCCAGGCCUGAGGGCCCUGGUGGUGGCCCACCCCCGCUCUGCCCUCGGGACCCCUCCCCGUGGCCUCCAGAACUGGUACCCUUUCCUCGUCAGCGACAGCGCAGGUAUUUCUCUUUGUGCUGAAGGGGUCUUCUGAGACCCUCUGACCAUGAGCGUGUAAGUGUGGUUUCUGGAAUCUGGCUGGAAACCGCUCCCCUCCCCUGCCGGCCUCACAGCCCUGGACUCUCUGUGGGUUGCAGUCUGGGUGAAGGUGAACCGGCAGGCCCUUCUCCGCUCCCUCUCCAGAGCCAGAGGGCAGUGGCCUGUGACCAGCCGCCUCUCCCCAUGUGCAUGUGACAGACUGGCAGGGGUGGCCUGCCCCCGCCGCCCCCAUGCCUGCUGUGCCCUCUGUGUGUGUAGGGGGCUUAGGGAUGGAGCCCAUGUGCCAGAGAUCAUGGUCGGACCAGCCUGCCCCCACAGUGUCUGCCCCCAACAGGACAGGAAGGUGGCUUGGCACAGGAGGAAGGCAGUAGUGUCAACGGGCUGGGACGCAGAGGCAGGUGGACUGGGUGGCCUCGGCGUGAAGCCAGAGGGCAUGAGGGCUGCCCAAGGCCACGCCUGCUAGCCUGAAUCUGAGGUAAGCGGCAGGGUCCCAGCUCCAGCUGCACUCGAGAUGCCUCUGGCUGCCCAUCUGGGGGCCUGGGGUGUCCUGGGCUGAUGGAGGGUCACAGUGAGGGAGAGGGGGUGUCCUUGCACAUCCUGAUGGGGCUCUCCUGGCAGAACCUCACCUCCAACCACACACACCCUUCUUUACAGGCUGGCUUUGGGGCUCUUCUUCAGAAAAAGUGGUGUCACUGCCUUUCCAUCUGAACCUGCAUCCUCUAAACCCCUAUCUUCACUGAUCAGACACCCCACACCCAGUUUCUCAUUUUCAGGAUGAUUCUGCAGGUCUAGAGCUUAAAAUCUGCUGCUUUCUGAAAAGGCGCUUUCUGUCUCCCCUGGGAAGUGGCCGACACCUGCCUCGUGAUUCCACAGGACACCUUUGGCUACUUAGAGCUGAAAGGGGCCGAAGGAGAGGCCCCAGGGUCUGAGACAAACAGGGUGCUUGGAGAAAGCUGCGGGGGCUGUGCGGGGAGCACCGCAGUAUUCCUGUUGGGGGUGGGGGCGGUAGAAGAGCGAUGGGAAACCAGGGGCGGGGCCUGGGGGGGGGGUGGGGGAUUCCAGAGACCUGGCUAAAGAUGCUGGGGGCACACCAUCACGGGCAGAGCUGGUCUCAGUGGGAGCUGGAGCCUGGGUCAGCGGCUGCCCCCGGGGUUGCUGUCCCAAGGGUUCUGAGGGCGUCUCUAUGUGGCCUAUGGGAGGCCUGCUUAGCGCAGGUGCUGCUUGCUCCACACAACACUGUUGAGGGGUCACAGAGGCCUGAGCCUCUAUCUGCUGGAUGAGGAACUUCUUCGGAAGAGCCCGUAGGCCCUCACCCAGAGCAGGGCUGGUGGCCGGGGAGGGGGAGUGGGCAUGUCCAGAAAAGGGUCUUUGCGGGCCACCUGCCAUCAGGGCACCCAGGGCUGCGGCCGACACCUGUGGUUUGGACACAAUGGCCCCUGAAAGGUCAGCUACCACUUGCCUGCCACCCCCUUUGGGGACCCUAUCCAGUCAAAGGGCUGCUUUCUUCCCUUUAUGGAGUGGUUCCUUCCAGAUGCCCAUGAAGGCCCUGACACGUGCAGGGCACGGCGGGAGAAGGCAAACAGGGCAGAGCUCUGCUUUCAGCCCUAACAUGAGGCAAAAGGCCCGUGCACGUGAAGAAGGAGGCUCAGCAUGUGGGCUCCUGGGUGGGGCCGUCCUGCAGUCAGGGGCCCUCGAGCAAGUGGCCCUGAACUAGGCCUUGAGGUUCCGUGUGGGCCACGGACUGGCAGACCAGGGGACGAGGAUCCUGGGGGAUGGGGCCGCGUGAGAAAGGCCUGAGGAGUCACAGUUAAAAUGACCCAGCUCAAGUAAUUAGGGAUUCGAACUAGUACCUCAAGUCAAUAAGGGCGUGGCAGAGGCUCCCAAGUGCUGGCCGCAGGCCUGGCAUCAAGGGAGCUUGCUGGCAAAUGCUGGUAACUGCUGCUAAAUUCCGGAUAAACGCUGGUCAAUGGCAUCUGUUAUCACUAAAGGAGCCAACAAACGGCAAAAGGCCACCUGAGUUUUGAAGCCUAUUUUGGAGCCAACCCAGGUGCCCUUUGGCACCCUUCCUGCCCUUCCACCCCUUCCUUUCUCCCACGGGCAGGGCUGGACCCCAGGUGGACUGAACCCCUCCUGAGCUGAGACCCUGCGUGAUGAUGGUUUAUGAUGUCCUUUCACCUUUGCCAGGCUCUUUCCAUGGGUGUGUGUGCGUGGGUGUGUGUGUGAUACCAGGAGAGGGUCAGGGACAAGCUCCUAUGAAACCUGGGGGCUGCUUUAGUCUCUGGAGAGAUGAUGUCACUGCCCAAGGAGAAUCCUUUUGGUUACUCCGUGGGUGCUCGGCCCCCAUGCACUUUAGAAUGUUCCAGAACCCCGAUGAGGAAGCCCCACCCUGAUCACAACUCAGGGAAGCCAGGGCGUCUUCCAAAGGACCAUCUGGGAUCCCAAACCUGCUCCCUCUCCGGAGAUGUGGCCCUGUCACCUACCCAGAUGUUAAUCUCCUCACCUGCGUUGGGACUCCCCUCCUACACGAAUCCAGGUGACCUCGGCUCAUCUCAUCCUCAGGACUCCCUCUCCCCUCCCUCCCCUCCUCCCCUAGGCCCUCUUCUUGCCUGUUGCCAGUUAUUUCAUUCACCUGUCAAUGCCUGGCCCCCUGCCAGGACUCUCCUUCCAGGCCAUUCUCCAAAGAGCUAAGGAAAAAUCUUUCAGGAAUGCAGACCCAUUGCCAGAGUUCCCCUUAGAGACUUUGCCUUACCUUCUAGAUAAAACCUCAGUUCCUUAGCCAAGGAUGCCUCCUCUCUGGGCUCCGCUUAGCCCUCUCCUCCCCUGGCCACUUCCCCAACCUGGGGGCCCAGGUCCACUGAAGUCACCCCCUGAAACCCCUGGGCCUUGCUUUCUUGGAACCCACACACCUUCAGACCUGCUCCCUCCACCUCGGACUCCCCUCCCCCACCAACUCCUACUCACCUGGAAUUGUAUUUUCAGUGUUUAUAUCACUAUACAGUUUUUUAUUUUAAUUAUUUAAAUUUUUUUUUAUUGUUUUGGCCGCCCUGAAGCACAUGGAGUUUCCCUGGCCAGGGAUGAGAUCCAAGCCGCAGUUGCAACCUAAGCCACAGCUGUGGCAACACCAGAUCCUUAACCCGCUGUGCUGGGCCAGAGAUCGAACCUGCAUCCCAGCGCUCUCAAGAUGUCACUGAUCCCACUGCGCCACAGCAGGAACUCCUUGGCCUGGAGUGGAAAUGUCUAUUGCGUUUGCUGGUGCGAUGCACUUGGCAAUAGCCCCAUGUCUAUUGGGACAAAGCGUGGUGGCUCUGCUCAGAGUCCCCGCCUGGGGAUGCCUUCCUCCUUCCCCCUUGGCAUGCUUUCCACCUGGGCUCCCCGGUGCCUCUGCUGUGCGCACAGGUAGUUAGACCUGUAAUUCUUCAUGCCUGUUGGUCUCUCAAUGUUUUAUCCUCAGUACUCAGCAGUUCCUCAGCUAUGUUGGGUGCUUACUAAAGAUGUUAAUUAAAAUAUUU
This 4353-nucleotide long non-coding RNA is filed under the name Sus scrofa (pig). RNAcentral's name for it is "lncRNA (ENSSSCG00015077593.1)". Lineage: Eukaryota; Metazoa; Chordata; Mammalia; Artiodactyla; Suidae. The record is from RNAcentral.